This 492-nucleotide ribosomal RNA is filed under the name uncultured bacterium. RNAcentral's name for it is "partial 16S ribosomal RNA". It matches the Rfam family "Bacterial small subunit ribosomal RNA", at positions 29 to 507 of the family's 1533-position model. The record is from RNAcentral.
AGUGAACGCUGGCGGUAGGCCUAACACAUGCAAGUCGAACGGCAGCACAGUAAGAGCUUGCUCUUACGGGUGGCGAGUGGCGGACGGGUGAGGAAUACAUCGGAAUCUACUUUUUCGUGGGGGAUAACGUAGGGAAACUUACGCUAAUACCGCAUACGACCUACGGGUGAAAGCAGGGGAUCUUCGGACCUUGCGCGAUUGAAUGAGCCGAUGUCGGAUUAGCUAGUUGGCGGGGUAAAGGCCCACCAAGGCGACGAUCCGUAGCUGGUCUGAGAGGAUGGUCAGCCACACGGGAACUGGAACACGGGCCAGGACCCUAAGGGAGGCAGCAGUGGGGAAUAUUGGACAAUGGGCGGAAACCUGAUCCAACCAUACCGCGUGGGUGGAAGAAGCCUUCGGGGUGGAAAGCCCUUUUGUUGGGAAAGAAAAGCAGCAGGUUAAUACCCCGCUGUUCCGACGGUACCCAAAGAAUAAGCACCGGCUAACUUCGUG